Molecule: microRNA precursor, 203 nt
Filed under: Oryza brachyantha (malo sina)
Lineage: Eukaryota; Viridiplantae; Streptophyta; Magnoliopsida; Poales; Poaceae
Description: MIR812 microRNA precursor family
Rfam family: MIR812 microRNA precursor family
Source: Rfam by way of RNAcentral
UUUAUUUGACACCGUUGACUUUUAGGUUCAUGUUUGACCUUUCGUCUUAUUCAAAAAAAUAUGUAAUUAUUAAUUAUUUUGUUAUAAUAUGAUUUAUUAUUAUAGCAACUUAAGUAUGCUUUAUAAUUUUACAUAUUUAGAUAUAAAUUUUGAAUAAGACGAAUGGUCAAACGUAGAUUCAAAAGUCAACGGCAUCAUAUAAA